This 466-nucleotide ribosomal RNA is filed under the name uncultured bacterium. RNAcentral describes it as "partial 16S ribosomal RNA". It matches the Rfam family "Bacterial small subunit ribosomal RNA", at positions 28 to 507 of the family's 1533-position model. The record is from RNAcentral.
GAUGAACGUUGGCGGCGUGCUUAACACAUGCAAGUCGAACGAUGAAGCUCAGCUUGCUGGGUGGAUUAGUGGCGAACGGGUGAGUAACACGUGAGUAACCUGCCCUUAACUCUGGGAUAAGCCUGGGAAACUAGGUCUAAUACCGGAUAGGAGCGCCUACCGCAUGGUGGGUGUUGGAAAGAUUUAUCGGUUUUGGAUGGACUCGCGGCCUAUCAGCUUGUUGGUGAGGUAAUGGCUCACCAAGGCGACGACGGGUAGCCGGCCUGAGAGGGUGACCGGCCACACUGGGACUGAGACACGGCCCAGACUCCUACGGGAGGCAGCAGUGGGGAAUAUUGCACAAUGGGCGAAAGCCUGAUGCAGCGACGCCGCGUGAGGGAUGACGGCCUUCGGGUUGUAAACCUCUUUCAGUAGGGAAGAAGCGAAAGUGACGGUACCUGCAGAAGAAGCACCGGCUAACUACGUG